UACGUAGGGGGCGAGCGUUGUCCGGAUUUAUUGGGCGUAAAGAGCGUGUAGGCGGUUCGGUAAGUCUGUCGUGAAAUCCUGAGGCUCAACCUCGGACGUGCGAUGGAUACUGCCGGGCUAGAGGAUGGUAGAGGCGAGUGGAAUUCCCGGUGUAGCGGUGAAAUGCGCAGAUAUCGGGAGGAACACCAGUAGCGAAGGCGGCUCGCUGGGCCAUUCCUGACGCUGAGGCGCGAAGGCCAGGGGAGCAAACGGG
Molecule: ribosomal RNA, 253 nt
Filed under: uncultured bacterium
Lineage: Bacteria
Description: partial 16S ribosomal RNA
Rfam family: Bacterial small subunit ribosomal RNA
Source: RNAcentral